This is a non-coding RNA of Camellia sinensis, 1804 nucleotides long. Lineage: Eukaryota; Viridiplantae; Streptophyta; Magnoliopsida; Ericales; Theaceae. The record is from RefSeq and is a predicted model, not a curated record.
UCUAAUCUCAAAACCUUCAUGUGUAAUUUUCUAUUCUAUGAUUAAUUUCUUUCUUUCUUGGGUUUCUUGUUAAUCAACCUAUCAGUUUGGAUUCUUUUCUUAUUAUUGGUUUCUUUCUGAAAUUGGGCAUGUUCUGUAUUGAUUAAUUUUCCUCAAAUAUGUAUUUCUUUGCUAAAUUUCAGUGGAUUGGGUUUCAUUUCAUAGAUGUUAGUGUCUUUUCUGUGUGAUAUACCAUCAACUAUUUAAACUUAAAAGAUCAAGUUUUACUCUUAUUAUGGUAUGCUCAAUUGGGUGCUUGCUGUUAGCAUUAAUUUGUUUAUUUAACUUAAUUCUAAUUUUUAUUUCCAUGUUUGUUGACUAUCACCUGAAUGGGCUUCAGAAAUUUUCUUUUUCUUUCUUUUUUUUUUGGUUGCCGAUAGAAAAGAGAAGAUCCAGAAAAUUACUACAGGACAGGGUUCUUGUUAUAUAAUUCUUGCAGCACUAUAGCUGUCUUGCUACAGGUUUGAAAUAUAUUGGUGUUGUUUUCUGGGUUAGGGUUAAAUUGUCAUUUUCAAGUGAUAAUUUUGAAGAUUGAAAGUGGAGAGAAGAGAACCACAAUAACCUGUAUUUGGAGAGGGUGUAGAUAAAAUGCAGGCCCAUGUGAUUCCCAGGUGGGAAAGGUAGGCAUCAUUGUCACUUAGAUCUCCUUGGCCACAAAUUUGAUGAGUGUACACCAUCAUUUGAUGGCCCACCCCACCCCACCCAACCCCCAACCCACUUAGGCAGAAAUCUGCCUAUUAGUCUGGUCUAUUAUAUGUGAUUUGUCUUUUCAAGCCUAUUGGAUCAUAUAAUUAGUUUCUCCAACUUUUAUUUUUUAUAUUUUACACAAAGUAAUUACUUGUCUUCUGUCCUAAAAAAAAAAAAAUUACGUGUCUUCUUGUUAUAGGGCAGUUUGAGAGAAUAAAUCUCAACCAAUUGUCAAAUUAUUAACCCAUUGCCAACCCACAAAACCUCAAAAUCCACAGGUUGGUUCAAGUAUUUUGGCAGUUCAGGUUGGUAGAUUGUAAAUUUUAACACAUUUUAUUAACAUAUUUAAGUUCUCAAAUAUUAAAUGUAAUUAUGAAACUACAAAAUCAAAACUAAAAACAAAAAAAAAAUGUUUGAUAAUAUACAUGUGCCCAAAAAACAUGUAAAUUAAUAGAUAAUUUUGAGAUGGUGAGAGUGGAGGAGGGAGCAAUGCCCCACCUUCAAACUCUAGUUAUCACAAAUAGUGAAUUGGUAGAGGAGGUCCCCUCCGGUAUCAAACAUCUAACCAACCUUCAAAUGUUUAGACUUUUUGAUAGCUGUAAGAAAUUGAUUAUGAAGUUAGAUUGAGAAGAACAAGGCGGGGAUUACUGGAAAAAAUCACACAUCCCUCAAGUUGUAAUUGAGAACUCAAACAAGGUCAAAGGGAGUAGCUGGGAGAGCUGGUAAAUGUUCUUACAGAAGCUGAGUAAUUUUUCCCUUCCUACUGCCCUUGUAAACUUUGCUACUCAUUUCAAGGGAAAAAAAGAAAAGAAAAAGAUAAGUGUGCUUUUCUUUUCUACUUAUUUUUUAUUUAUAGGAUUAUAGAGGGAGGGAGGUAGCAGGAUGGUUCUUUAAAGUGUCUCUGGUGUUUGAUGUAUAAUUUCCCGAAGCUUGAUGAUACAUAAUCUUAAAUCUGAAGCUGAACACAAGUCGAUUAUGUUGGGCCACCAGCAAACAUGUUUAUUGGAUGAUUGCAAAGUUAAACUUGUCCGGAACUUUUGACUCACACUAUUACAAAAAUAGAUAAAGAUCACACUUU